GGCGGGUCUCCCCGCAUUCAAUCUUUGUGAAUCUGGUCAGGUCGGGAACGAAGCAGCCACAGCGAAGUAAUUGAAGUGCCGGGGGUCAGGCUCGCCACC
This 99-nucleotide signal recognition particle RNA is filed under the name Betaproteobacteria bacterium. RNAcentral describes it as "signal recognition particle sRNA small type". It matches the Rfam family "Bacterial small signal recognition particle RNA". Rfam says of the family: The signal recognition particle (SRP) is a universally conserved ribonucleoprotein involved in the co-translational targeting of proteins to membranes. Lineage: Bacteria; Pseudomonadati; Pseudomonadota; Betaproteobacteria. The record is from RNAcentral.